Molecule: ribosomal RNA, 493 nt
Filed under: uncultured bacterium
Lineage: Bacteria
Description: partial 16S ribosomal RNA
Rfam family: Bacterial small subunit ribosomal RNA
Source: RNAcentral
GACGAACGCUGGCGGCGUGCUUAACACAUGCAAGUCGAGCGAUGAACCUUUCAUGAAUUUUUGGAAUGAUUGGAAGAGGAUUAGCGGCGGACGGGUGAGUAACGCGUGAGCAACCUGCCUUAAACAACGGGAUAGCCUCGGGAAACCGGGAUUAAUACCGUAUGAGACCCCGCCUUCACAUGAAGAAGAGGUUAAAGAUUUAUCGGUUUAAGAUGGGCUCGCGUCUGAUUAGCUAGUUGGUGAGAUAAAAGCCCACCAAGGCAACGAUCAGUAACCGGCUUGAGAGAGUGAACGGUCACAUGGGAACUGAGACACGGUCCAAACUCCUACGGGAGGCAGCAGUGGGGAAUAUUGCACAAUGGGGGAAACCCUGAUGCAGCGACGCCGCGUGAGCGAUGAAGGAAUUCGUUUCGUAAAGCUCUGUCCAAGGGGAAGAUAAUGACAGUACCCUUGGAGGAAGCCCCGGCUAAAUACGUGCCAGCCGCCGCAGUAA